CAUCUAGAAAGAAAUCUAUGCACAAAUAUCAGAUAUCAACUUUUCUUCCUGCUUUGAUGGAGGUUCAGAUAUAACUCAUGAAGAAAUGAAGGAUUGUUCUUAAGGUUUUAGGUAAGGAAAUAGUCAAUUAAAAUGAACUUAGUCAAAUGAAGUUCUAUAUCUAGAGGAAUAUCAUUUCUUUAGCAGAAUAGUGCCACUGAUUAAAGGGAACUAUUUUUCAGGUGCGCGUGAUGCAACUUAUAUGAUGGUGUUAAGGCUGUUUUUCAACAUCUGAAACCCACGUGUAUUUCGGGAUAGGGGUAGUCUCGCUUUUUAAAGAUCCAAAAUGGCCGUUUUACAGUGCGACAUGCAGUCUGGUCAUCAACGGAGAGUUUGACACCUGUAAUACCCGUACGCGUAUUACUACCACUCACCUCUCUAACAUCUUUUGAGUUCAUCAUAUUAGUCCAUGACAGGAAGUUGAGGAAUCAAGUUGACCGGACAUUCCGCACUGUCCUCGGUACCAUCUUAUGAGGGAACCAACCGUACUGGACAUAUAUCACGCUUCAUUAUAGGACGAUAGAGCUACCUUGUCUUUUAAGAGAAACUCCAAACUUUGAUGACUGAUGGAAAAGCCUCAUCCCCGACGGCUAAAGAACGCCUUAUCUUAAUCACCAGCCAUUAAUCAGCGAUUACUAUUAUCAAAAGUCCAAGGUGCGCGUGAUGCAACUUCCUGGAUGGUGUGAAGGCUGUUUGUCAACAUUUAAAUCCACGUUUAUUUCGGGGGUUACCGUUUGAGCUCUACUGGAUCGGUGAUUAGAUACAGAGUUUCAUACUAGACCAUGCGUGAUGUGAAUAAAAUGUGAAUUAGCAAAACAUAACUGAAUCAAUUACUUAUUACAAAGUUUUAUAUUAGACCAGGCGUGAAAAAUGGGAAUUAUCACAACUGGAUCAGUAAAUGGAUACAAAGUUUUAUACUAGACCAGGCGUAAAAACAUGAAUUAGCACUACUGGAUCAUUAAUAAGAUACAGAGAUUUAUUCUAGAUCAGGCAUGAGAAGUUAUGGAUGCUUUAUAUCUCAAUGCGUACUUGGUUUUCUAUCAACUGGCACCUGAUUCUACUUCUAAUGUCUCAGAGGUCGUGUUUUCUCUGCUCCUAUUUUGUAGUGAUUUAUAGACUUUGAGAUUGAAUACUGUUCCACAUCAUUCAUCAACAUAUCGCGAGAUUUUCCAGUGUUAAGACUGUAUUUUUUCAGUUAUUGUAACAUGUGUAAAUAGUAAUUUGAAUAUUUUGUUUAUUUAUUUUUAUAUCUAUUUAGACUUUAUUUUCAUUCUACAUUUUGUGCAAUUGCGUCAUUUACUUUUCAUCUUUUUUUUUAAUUUUAUUUUCUGUAAUCUUUAAUUCAAGUUUAACAGGAUUGUAUAAUGGAAAGCUUUGGCAUUUUUAAGAAUACGAAAGCUGUCUUCAUAAACAUUGUGACAAUGAAAGAAUUUAAAGAAAACAUGUGAAUUAUAUGAGUGAUUUUUGUACCUUGUUACUUUGCUACUUUCACAAUUGGAUUGGUUUCUUUUGUAAACAAGGAGCAUAUUUAAUAUCAUU
This is a long non-coding RNA of Saccostrea cuccullata (small rock oyster), 1578 nucleotides long. RefSeq lists it as uncharacterized. The transcript is spliced from 7 exons. Lineage: Eukaryota; Metazoa; Mollusca; Bivalvia; Ostreida; Ostreidae. The record is from RefSeq and is a predicted model, not a curated record.